This is a long non-coding RNA of Setaria italica (foxtail millet), 885 nucleotides long. RefSeq lists it as uncharacterized. The transcript has 2 exons. The record is from RefSeq and is a predicted model, not a curated record. NCBI's taxonomy places the organism in Eukaryota, Viridiplantae, Streptophyta, Magnoliopsida, Poales, Poaceae.
CCGCCAUCUCAUCUGGCAGUAAGCGGGUAGCUUCCUCCACCACCGGUUGACACGGCACUAGCCCGUUACCGCCGUUUCAAGCAGCCGCAUAGACUCAUUUUUGCAGUUUUUUUAUUCGACUAUAUAUUUGUGUAAAUUUGUAAAAAAAUAUAUAAAAAUAAAAAAAAUCGCAAGCAGCAGAGAGAACACGCCAGGCGCGUCGUCUCUGUCCGUUCGCGACGAAGUCGCGCGAGUCCGCUGCGCGAGGGGAGGAUCCCGCCGCCGCCGCCUGGUGCUCCACGCCUCCACCCGUCGCCGCCUGCUCCUCCUCCCGCCGCCGCCUGGCGCCUACCGCCUGGUGCUGUUGCCCUUCGUCCCGGCGCCGGGAUCCGCCCUCGGUCGCCGCCGGCGGUUCCUCACCUCGUUCGUCCGCGACGACGCCGGCCUGCUCGAAAACGCCAAGCCGCUGGCGGAGCGCGAUGGCCUCGUCCUUCUGCGCGCCUCUCCCCACGCCGCGGGCCAACAAUUGUUCAGCCUCUGUGUGUGCAGCCUGCUCACAGGCAAGCUGGACGUCCUCCCGCCGCUGGAUAUGGCUUGCUUCCACGACGAGGGCAUGCUGGGAUACGCCAUUCUCACAUCCGCCAACCAGGAUGAUGUGCCAGCCGAUGGAUACUCCAACUUGUGCCAGAAUUGGAGCACUGCACCGGCCAUUUGUUUUCCCAGUGGCCUAGAACUGUUCGCAGGGCCCUAUGGACGUGCUGCCGCCGUAUGUUGUGACACUGCACACUGGCUCUUUGAGGACUACCGACUACCGUACACCUGGAGUAAACUUGUAUACCGUUGAUGUAAAUGUCAAGACAGGGCAUGUCUGUGCAUCCAAAAUCUCCAUUGAAUCGUCUUUACCCA